This 240-nucleotide unclassified non-coding RNA is filed under the name soil metagenome. Its description in RNAcentral is "partial contains 5.8S ribosomal RNA, internal transcribed spacer 2, and large subunit ribosomal RNA". The record is from RNAcentral.
AACGCACGAGACCUGCGGACCUGCGGAGGGAUCAUUAACACGUUUUAAACGUAUCAACCAACCGCGAACUCUGACGUUAGUAACCUCUCUUCAGUUUUCGGACUGGAGAGACGGUUGCGCCUGAGCAUGUUAGGGGAAAGUGCUGUUUAGGAGCCUGGCUCCUCUACAGAGGCUUCCUUUAGCACUGUUCAUAUUAACCCAAACCAUAUUUGUUGUCAUUUUUUCUGUUCUAAAGGACGU